Amyelois transitella is the source of this 135-nucleotide small nucleolar RNA. RefSeq annotates it as small nucleolar RNA SNORA53. NCBI's taxonomy places the organism in Eukaryota, Metazoa, Arthropoda, Insecta, Lepidoptera, Pyralidae. The record is from RefSeq and is a predicted model, not a curated record. The transcript has a single exon.
AGCACACUCCUUAGAUCCGUUUCAUUUUUGAUGUGAAACGCUUGAGUCAUAAGUGUGCCAGAGCACGACACCUCCAUUCUGAGACUGAUAUGUGGUGUUUUCUUUGGAUAUCACUUGUCUUAGAGAGGGGAACAU